RNAcentral lists this ribosomal RNA (490 nucleotides) under uncultured bacterium. RNAcentral describes it as "partial 16S ribosomal RNA". It matches the Rfam family "Bacterial small subunit ribosomal RNA", at positions 30 to 507 of the family's 1533-position model. The record is from RNAcentral.
AUUGAACGCUGGCGGCAGGCCUAACACAUGCAAGUCGAAUGGUAACAGGAAACAGCUUGCUGUUUCGCUGACGAGUGGCGGACGGGUGAGUAAUGUCUGGGAAACUGCCUGAUGGAGGGGGAUAACUACUGGAAACGGUAGCUAAUACCGCAUAACGUCGCAAGACCAAAGAGGGGGACCUUCGGGCCUCUUGCCAUCAGAUGUGCCCAGAUGGGAUUAGCUAGUAGGUGGGGUAACAGCUCACCUAGGCGACGAUCCCUAGCUGGUCUGAGAGGAUGACCAGCCACACUGGAACUGAGACACGGUCCAGACUCCUACGGGAGGCAGCAGUGGGGAAUAUUGCACAAUGGGCGCAAGCCUGAUGCAGCCAUGCCGCGUGUAUGAAGAAGGCCUUCGGGUUGUAAAGUACUUUCAGCGGGGAGGAAGGGAGUAAAGUUAAUACCUUUGCUCAUUGACGUUACCCGCAGAAGAAGCACCGGCUAACUCCGUG